CCUAGAGGAUGCUGGGCUCCAGAAUCAACUAAAUAAGAAAUUACAACUUUGACAAUAUCACACCAACAUCACAAACUGUAAGAAAGGAAGCUGAAUCCCAAGGUCAAAGCUUUCGGGAUUUUUUUCAGAGUGAGGGUUCCGAAGCUGGCGAUGUGGACAAAUUCACUAGUCCGAAAAAGAAAGAAAAGAAGAAGAACUUAAAGCACGUUCACUGGUCCGGUGACUUCUCUAACUACAGGGUCGAUUCAAGGCUCGACGGCAGCCCUCCCCAGGAGUCCCGCGGUGGACAGGAUUCCUCGAGCAGGGGGACUGUCAGCUUAGCCACAGGUGUCAGAGGUAACAGCAAGAAUCCAAGACCGCGGCGCAGUCACCGGGAGGCUCAGGGCGAAUGCAGCUAUAAAACCUGGAGAGAAUGCCAGAGAAGAUAUUUGAGGAGCCUAUGAAAUAAAUAUCAGCCAGGCUGGCAAGGAGGUGAGGAUCCAAAGUAUCACUCCUGGUGAACCUGAUCAGACACAUACAACAACCAGAAGCACAACAUGAAGGAGCAACUGUUAAAAUUUGCAAUACUUCAGGUGCAAUAUAAUUGGGAGUCCCAACCAAAGAAUGUGCUAGACAUCGCUGGUGCUGGCGUGCAGCUCUCCGCUCUAAUGGCUUUAAUCUAUCUCCACAUCGACAAUUUGAGGGAUCACCCCAUUCAUUACUGAAGUCCAUGCUAUCUUGCCGAGGAUGGUCUCCUGUACAGAAAAAGAACAACAAUAAAUGAAAGCAACAAAGACAAAAGUAAAUCUAAAGUCUGUUUAAUCU
Molecule: long non-coding RNA, 804 nt
Organism: Marmota flaviventris (yellow-bellied marmot)
Lineage: Eukaryota; Metazoa; Chordata; Mammalia; Rodentia; Sciuridae
Source: RefSeq, a predicted model, not a curated record